RNAcentral lists this ribosomal RNA (648 nucleotides) under uncultured fungus. RNAcentral's name for it is "eukaryotic LSU rRNA". The stretch from base 232 to 385 matches the Rfam family "5.8S ribosomal RNA". Lineage: Eukaryota; Fungi. The record is from RNAcentral.
AAGUCGUAACAAGGUUUCCGUAGGUGAACCUGCGGAAGGAUCAUUAACGAAUUGUAAUUGGAGUUGAUGCUGGCAGGCUUGGCUGCAUGUGCUCGCUCCUAACAAUCUUCAUCCAAACACCUGUGCACAUUUAGAGAGGGUCUCCGAGUCCUCCUUGGAGUCCCUUCCUCUCAUUACACACUUUAUUUCAAUGUUGAACGUGAUUGUGCCGUAAGGCCUUAAUAUUAAUACAACUUUUAACAACGGAUCUCUUGGCUCUCGCAUCGAUGAAGAACGCAGCGAAAUGCGAUAAGUAAUGUGAAUUGCAGAAUUCAGUGAAUCAUCAAAUUUUUGAACGCACCUUGCGCUCCCUGGUAUUCCGGGGAGCACGCCUGUUCGAGUGUCGUGAAAUUCUCAAACCGGGAUGCUUUUUUUGUUUCUCGGCUUGGUGUUGGGCUUUGCAGUUCCUUUGAUUGGGAUGGCUGGCCUUAAAAGCAUUAGCUGGCUUUUCAUGUGGCAUUGGUUCUACUCAGCGUGAUAAUGAUCUGACCGCCGAGGACAUCUUUCGAGGUGGCCAAUUCUCAUUUGGGCUGCUUCUAAUUUUGGUAGAGCAGAUUCUGAAUCUGUUCCACUUUUCAGCUUUUGACCUCGAAUCAGGUGGGACUACCC